UACAGAGGUGCCAAGCGUUAGGCGGAAUCACUGGGCUUAAAGCGCGCGUAGGCGGAUCUUUAAGUCAGGGGUGAAAUCCUGGAGCUCAACUCCAGAACUGCCUUUGAUACUGGCGAUCUUGAGUCCGGGAGAGGUGAGUGGAACUGCGAGUGUAGAGGUGAAAUUCGUAGAUAUUCGCAAGAACACCAGUGGCGAAGGCGGCUCACUGGCCCGGUACUGACGCUGAGGUGCGAAAGCGUGGGGAGCAAACAGG
Molecule: ribosomal RNA, 253 nt
Filed under: uncultured bacterium
Lineage: Bacteria
Description: partial 16S ribosomal RNA
Rfam family: Bacterial small subunit ribosomal RNA
Source: RNAcentral